GCGUCUGUAUACUUAUUUUAUUGACAAUGAACGCAAUCAUCAUGGGUCCAUUCCAGAUAUUAUGAACAAUUUGUAUAGAUAUAGCCUUCAUUCCUAUAUGCUUGACUUUUUGCGAGAGGGAGUUUUUCCAACGAAGCAAUCUUGGAAAACUAUAGUAGUCAAAGUGCAAACUGACGAAUGGACUCGUCGUUUACAUAAUGAUAAUAACUUUUCUCACU
This 218-nucleotide long non-coding RNA is filed under the name Mytilus galloprovincialis (Mediterranean mussel). The record is from RNAcentral. Lineage: Eukaryota; Metazoa; Mollusca; Bivalvia; Mytilida; Mytilidae.